Molecule: ribosomal RNA, 326 nt
Filed under: uncultured bacterium
Lineage: Bacteria
Description: bacterial SSU rRNA
Rfam family: Bacterial small subunit ribosomal RNA
Source: RNAcentral
AACGAACGCUGGCGGCGUGCCUAACACAUGCAAGUCGAACGCGAACGGCCUUCGGGCCUAGUAGAGUGGCGCACGGGUGAGUAACGCGUGGGUAAUCUGCCCUUGGGUGGGGGAUAACGUUCCGAAAGGAACGCUAAUACCGCAUAAGGCCACAGCUCUACGGAGCGGUGGGAAAAGGUGGGGACCUGGACCUCGGUCUGGACCUGCCGCCUGGGGAUGAGCCCGCGUGCCAUUAGGUAGUUGGUGGGGUAAUGGCCCACCAAGCCAAAGAUGGCUAGCUGGUCUGAGAGGAUGAUCAGCCACACUGGGACUGAGACACGGCCCAG